This 1052-nucleotide long non-coding RNA is filed under the name Zea mays. RNAcentral describes it as "long non-coding RNA (ZMAY_LNC001029)". The record is from RNAcentral. Lineage: Eukaryota; Viridiplantae; Streptophyta; Magnoliopsida; Poales; Poaceae.
GUUUAUUUCCACCAAAACAAAAGAAAAGGGUCAAAACUAAACUUAAUUCAUGAAAUAAUCACAGAGGUGCUAUUUGUUUGCUUUACAGAGUUUUAAAUGAUCAAAAACUGACUGAACCAUCAAGAAUCAACCACCUUUCAAGAAAAGAGUCAAGUCAGUAUAAUUGGAUGAAAAAUUGCAGUCCUCAGGGAGCUUUCCCAUAAUUAUAUGGAAAACCCCUUUUAUCGAAUUAUUCAUAUAGAACUUUUGAGUUAUCAUUCGACGUGCCAGCUAUUUAAAGCCAAACUAAAGCUAUGUCGCUUCAAGAGUUCAAGACAAGAGUAAAACGGGCUUCUGAACUUGUUGUUAGCAGCAGCGAACAACACAUAAUUAAUUGAAUCCACUAAAGGUAUUGGACAAUAUUUCUACAGACAAACAUAUAUAGAGAAUGAAGGAACGAAAACUGAACAGAAAUAAUUUUAAGUGACCAUAGGUCUAAAUGUUGCCACACUCGAUGUUGCGCCAGAAAUAUAAAGUGCAAGCCUUAAUCUCCACAAAUAAAGUACCAAAGUACAGUUGAAGUUCAAUCUUCAAUCCUAACCAUGAUCCUACUAAAUCUGAGCUUUAAAUCUAUUCACUUGAAAUGGAGCCACUACAACCAUGCCCAGAAAAUUUACGAACUUAGGGUGUGUUUGGUUCAGCUUCCUGAACCAGAUUCACUGUCAAAAAUCUGGAAUCUCAACCAAACGGCUACAACAACAUAAUAGAUUCCUGAAAAUCAAUAGAUUCUUCUAAUUCAAUUCAGAAUCACCUCCUAACCCAGAUUUUCCAGAUUCCUGUCAUCCAUGAUGCAAGAUGUCAUGAUCUUAUAGAAUCUAUAUUGAUAGUUGUUUCAACCAAACAAAUUUCAGUUUUUUCACAAUUGUCAGCUUACAAUAGCUUUCUCACAGCUCACAGCUGGAAUCAUAUUUUCAGAAGUCUACAGUUGAACCAAGUAGACCCUUAAUCUCAAUCGGUUCAAAAAUUCUCUCACCAAUACGCUGCACCUACGCAUCACCCAUAUGCUAGUAAGG